Molecule: ribosomal RNA, 891 nt
Filed under: uncultured archaeon
Lineage: Archaea
Description: bacterial SSU rRNA
Rfam family: Archaeal small subunit ribosomal RNA
Source: RNAcentral
CCGGUUGAUCCUGCCGGAGGCUACCGCUAUUGGAGUUCGAUUAAGCCAUGCGAGUCGCGAGUCUUAGGGACUCGGCGUACCGCUCAGUAACACGUGGGUAACCUGCCCUAUGCUGGGGGAUAACCUCGGGAAACUGAGAAUAAUACCCCAUAGUUCACCACGCCUGGAACGGUGGGUGGACCAAAGCUCCGGCGGCAUAGGAUGGGCCUGCGGCGUAUCAGGUUGUAGGGGGUGUAAUGUACCCUCUAGCCCUCUACGCGUACGGGUGUUGAGAGACAUCGCCCGGAGAUGGAUUCUGAGACACGAAUCCAGACCCUACGGGGUGCAGCAGGCGCGAAAACUUGGCAAUGCGAGAAAUCGUGACCAGGGAACUCCAAGUGCAUCGGGUAAGACCGAUGCUUUUCUUGACUCUUCAAAGGUCUUGGAAUAAGGGGUGGGUAAGGACGGUGCCAGCCGCCGCGGUAAUACCGGCGCCCCAAGUGGUAGUCGCUUUUAUUGGGCCUAAAACGUCCGUAGCCGGUCUGGUACAUUCGUGGGUAAAUCAACCAGCUCAACUGGUUGAAUUCUGCGAGCACGGCCAGACUUGGGACCGGGAGAGGUGUGGGGUACUCUCAGGGUAGGGGUAAAAUCCUGUCAUCCUGAGAGGACCACCUGUUGCGAAGGCGCCACACUAGAACGGAUCCGACGGUCAGGGACGAAGCCUAGGGGCACGAACCGGAUUAGAUACCCGGGUAGUCCUAGGUGUAAACGCUGUGGACUUGAUGUUGGGGGCGCUCCGAGCGCACUCAGUGUCGAAGCGAAGGUGAUAAGUCCACUGCCUGGGGAGUACGGUCGCAAGGCUGAAACUUAAAGGAAUUGGCGGGGGAGCACCGCAACCUGAGGAUUGUGCGG